This 221-nucleotide non-coding RNA is filed under the name marine eukaryotic metagenome. Its description in RNAcentral is "glmS glucosamine-6-phosphate activated ribozyme". It matches the Rfam family "glmS glucosamine-6-phosphate activated ribozyme aptamer", at positions 1 to 150 of the family's 167-position model. Rfam says of the family: This entry contains a glucosamine-6-phosphate activated ribozyme that is found in the mRNA for GlmS. GlmS is an enzyme that uses fructose-6-phosphate and glutamine to generate glucosamine-6-phosphate. The ribozyme catalyses self cleavage of the glmS mRNA that is thought to regulate GlmS activity. The record is from RNAcentral.
UUAAUUUCAAGCGCCAGAACCCGGCACUCAAUGAGGUAUUUGGUUUACUUUAGAAUAAGGUUUUCACUAACAAACAACCGUAUUCUAUUAGAUUUUCUGGUUAUCGUUGAGUGCUGGGUUGACGAGGAGGGAGUUAAUCGAAGUUUUCGGCGGGUGCUCCCCGGUUCGGUCACGACCGUGAAAGGUACUACAAAACCCGCGGGUAACCGCGGGGACAAAAG